GUCGAUGGUAGGUUACGCGCCUACCAUGGUUGUCACGGGUGACGGGGAAUCAGGGUUCGAUUCCGGAGAGGGAGCCUGAGAAACGGCUACCACAUCCAAGGAAGGCAGCAGGCGCGCAAAUUACCCACUCCCGGCACGGGGAGGUAGUGACGAAAAAUAACGAUACGGGACUCAUAUGAGGCUCCGUAAUCGGAAUGAGUACACUUUAAAUCCUUUAACGAGGAUCCACUGGAGGGCAAGUCUGGUGCCAGCAGCCGCGGUAAUUCCAGCUCCAGUAGUCUAUGCCAAAGUUGUUGCGGUUAAAAAGCUCGUAGUUGGAUCUCGGUUCGAGACGGUUGGACCGCCUUUCGGGCGGUUUUCCUGACCGCUGCGAACAGAAUGAACUGGCACGUCCGGCGGUGCUCUUCAUCGAGUGUCGUCGGGUGGCCGGUGCGUUUACUUUGAAAAAAUUAGAGUGAUCAAAGCAGGCGGAGAUGCCAGAAUAAUAGUGCAUGGAAUAAUGAAAUAGGAUCUCGGUUCUAUUUUGUUGGUUCUCGGAACGCGAGAUAAUGAUUAAUAGGAACAGACGGGGGCAUUCGUAUUGCGACGUUAGAGGUGAAAUUCUUGGAUCGUCGCAAGACGGAC
RNAcentral lists this ribosomal RNA (624 nucleotides) under Linguatula serrata. RNAcentral's name for it is "SSU rRNA". It matches the Rfam family "Eukaryotic small subunit ribosomal RNA", at positions 321 to 940 of the family's 1831-position model. Lineage: Eukaryota; Metazoa; Arthropoda; Ichthyostraca; Porocephalida; Linguatulidae. The record is from RNAcentral.